UCCUACGGGAGGCAGCAGUGAGGAAUAUUGGACAAUGGGUGAGAGCCUGAUCCAGCCAUCCCGCGUGAAGGAAGACGGUUCUAUGGAUUGUAAACUUCUUUUGUACAGGGAUAAACCUAUCUACGUGUAGAUAGCUGAAGGUACUGUACGAAUAAGCACCGGCUAACUCCGUGCCAGCAGCCGCGGUAAUA
Molecule: ribosomal RNA, 191 nt
Filed under: uncultured bacterium
Lineage: Bacteria
Description: partial 16S ribosomal RNA
Rfam family: Bacterial small subunit ribosomal RNA
Source: RNAcentral